AUUAAAUUAAGCUAAUUGAUUGAAAACAUCAGUCUAUAGUUGAUAGAUAGUAUAAAUUCAUUGAUUUCGUUUUGGGGAAGAAUGUAGCACCGGGAAUUUUUCGGUGGUAUGGAAUACCCUUCCCCUGAAAGCUAUCAUGCCAAUUUUCCUUUUCUGUGAAAUUUUUCACGUAUUAUAGUGGCGAUUUUGUACCUCAUUUGUUCGUUUUCGUCCUCCCUUCCCUCUUGCUCUUCUUUGAACCCAUUCAUAGUGGAUUCCUUAUUACAGUGAAGACGAUUUGCGAAUCUUUGGAAUAAAAAAUUUAAGAUACUCGCAAGCUCUAAUCAUAACCUUAAAGUAACGUUAAGAAAGAAAACAACAAACAACAAAAUACUCCCAAUAAUGACUUUGAUAAGAAAAUGAUAGCCAUUACUAUCUACUUGAUAGAUUUGAAUGAGUUUUGGAUAAUCUACGCAGAGUAUAAAAUGCGCCUACGAUUCGAGACAGCUAUACUAGUUACCGAGUCUAUCAAGAAUGAAGUUCUCUAUUAUAUUAUGUAUGGUCAUUGCUAGUAUAGUGAUGGUCACAUUCAACGGAGUGGUUUUUGCCGGCUGUGAAUGCAGGAAUGAUUGUAAAUCCGGAGAAAGACAAGACGGUGCCUGUGGAACGAUGAAAUAUUGUUGCAAAUGAUACCUACAUAAAUAAAUAUGUAAUUUGUAAAACUUCAUUUUCUUGCAAUACACUAUGAGAUUAUUAACA
This is a long non-coding RNA of Photinus pyralis (common eastern firefly), 738 nucleotides long. RefSeq lists it as uncharacterized. The record is from RefSeq and is a predicted model, not a curated record. The transcript has 2 exons. Lineage: Eukaryota; Metazoa; Arthropoda; Insecta; Coleoptera; Lampyridae.